UGGAUUUUACACGUCACACGACGGUUCGUCUAGACAGACGGUAUUGAUCUUAGGAAUACAGAAUACAUGGCGGAGAGGAGUGGCACGUAGGAGAAAUCGAAGGAAAACAUACUAUUAGCAAAAAAUAUCAGGGUAAUAACUACAUCAUAGUCACUGCCAAAUACCUCAAUAUUUUCCUGUACAUCGAGUUCAACAGCUUCAUCAAUCAUUAACAGCUCUAACGGUAGGGUGUCCACUUUGAGUGCAGGAGGUCGUAAGUUCGAUUCCUGGUGCUACCAUAGAGGCUUUUGACCAGAGUCAAAGAAGACACAAGUGGAAGUGUGGAGGUCAAUGACCUCUUCAAUGCGUAUAAGUUUGAAAUGGAAGAGUGCGGUGCAAAAACAUUGCCUCAAAACGUGUUUUUGUCGACCACAUUAUUAAAGUCUACCCGACUGUCGAGAAGAAAAGAGUCCAGAAAUUACGGAAAUCAACUGUCCCAGCAAACACACAACGUUAAGACAACGUUGUGUUUUAGUUGUAUGUUAGUUGUGUUAUUUUACAACGUCGUGACAACGUUGAGAACUAUUCAAAGUAGUGAUUUGAAAUGUAUAGGAGAAAGUCCCAUGCAAGCAAUGUGUGAAUGUACUGAAAAGACCCUAUAAAAAGACACACAGAGUUUUUAUCUGAAUCUUGUCAAAUCUACAACGUUAGUACAACAUUGUGCAAACGUUGGGCUACAACGCUGUGUACACAACAGUGCUGUGACGUUGUCACAACGUUUUACUCAAGUUUGAAUCACAACGUUGUUAAGGUAACGUUAUAUCAACGUUUUUACAAUGUUGCCAAUUUUCAGUGAAAGAGUAGUUAAUAUGAAAGUAUAUUCAAAACUGACAGUUGCCUAGAAAAGCCUGCCUACUUGUGGAGCUACCGAGGUCGCCUGCUCAGCAGCUGCCUCAUGCGAGAACUGCUUUGCUACUCCCUUAUUAUACUAAUUUUGUUUCGCUCGAUUGUGAAGAAUAAUGUUUCGAGUCCGAAUCCGGGAAAACCUUUGUUGGAAUGGCGUUUAAUGAGGACGUUAACUGUCAUGCUCCAUUAUUAGGGUUCAAACCCACGUCUCCGUGGUAAGCAGCCGACACCUUGUCUCCAACACCACCACUCCCCUUCUUCCGCAAAACAUUGUCAAUUUUUAUAUAUAGCUUAGUUCCAAUUCUUCAUAAAAUUUGAAAAAUCUAGACAGACCGGACAAAAGUACCAAACUUGGCACAGAGGUAGUUUGGACCAAUACAAGACUUUUGGCUGUAAGGGCCAAGGUCACAGCUGUUUUGGAAUUCUAUUUUUAGAACAUUCAAAAUGGCCGCCAUUGAAACAAAUAGCUAUUUUAGUAAAAGUUAGUUUUUACCUUGUUCCUGGUACAUAUUUAUGAGUAAACUAGUUCAUACCUACUCUUAGAGUUAAGUGAUACAUUUGCAGGAGUUGAUGUCAAUUUUCACGUCCGUUUGUCUGUAAAUCCGUCUGUCUGUACGUCAAAAAUGCCGUUAAUAAACAGUAUCCUUGUGGUUAUAACUAUAAGAUGAGCCCCGUAAUGUGCAGCUUGACUUUAAUUAUGUAUUGGUGCAGCUGGAAAAAAAAAUGUUUGACCAACUUUUGGGUGAAGCAUGUUAUUAUUUGUUCCGUCUGUCUGUCCGUCCGUCCGUCGCAAAAUUCAUAUAUCUCAGAACAGCUGUUUUGAGGUUUUUUUUUUAAGAUUUUUGACAUUUUUUGUUCUAUAAAUUGUUAAAUGCCUAUUGCUUUUGUAAUAUUCAAGUGACUGUUCCUGAAAUACACUGUUAAAAAUGCAAAAAAAUGUAUAAAAACGAUUUGUUUUAACUGCUUAAAGGGCCAUAGUGGCUUUGUUUAUUAUGUGACUGCCGCCCGCAUGUGCUGUUAUGAACAUAAAAUAUAGUAAUAACUUGUUAAAUCUUAUUUUUGAUACUUUUUUAUAACAUAUUUUUCAAAGGUAUUUAAAGUAUAAUUCACAAAGUAUAAAGUAUUACUGCGUCCAUUCUUUUUUAUUACCUCCCUUUUAUGUAAAAGUAUAAAUACAUGUGCAGUACUGAAAGAAGUGCUUUUCCAACCAUGUAAUUAUGCAUAUUCUCUUUUUUGAGAGUUGCUGUAUCGGGUUUUAACAUGAUGGAAUUUUAACACAAUGCAGUUCACCUAAACAGACGUGACAAAUUAUCUUAUUGAAAAAUACUUUAGGUAUGUUGAACAACUGUUAAAGAUGGUUGAGGGGAACAUUUUCUUAAUCUCUAUUCAAAAUCAUGUUUGAUACAUGUACCUAUUUCUUAAUGUCUUGUAUAGAGAGCACCAUUUGCUACAUGUACCUAUAUUAUCUAAAACAUCUGUGUUAUCUUAUGGCAAAGAUUUUAAUGGUCAGAUUGCGUUAUAUUUUAUCUAUGUGUCAACGGGGCUGUUGGUUAUUUCAAUGUAACAGAGUUAGAUGUAAGGUCAUUUCGUAGCAUUAUUAACUGCAAGUUUCUUUAUUAAUCAAUGUAAUGAUAAUAAUUGUAUAACAGCUUAUGCAUUUUACAUGUGUGGAAAGAAUUAUGCAUAUAUCAAUCAAUAGUUUAAGUAUAUCUGAAAUAAAUUAACUAAUUGCCCAAACAAUGCCAUUUUAAGCCAGUGUGAUGAAAACAUACUAACUUAACAUUGAAGAUAAAGGGAAAAUAGUGUCUCCAAUUUCUUUCAUUGCUGGUGUAAAUAGUGUUACUGUUUUCAAUCUAUUAAGACAUGUUGUCGUCGUUUAAGAAGGAAUUGAGGUCAUUGAUCUAAGUGGGACAUUUCUAAGUAUUUAAAAGGCAAUACAUGUAUGCUGCAAUCACGGCUUUGACUGUUUCAUUAUGCUUUAAAAUUUUGUUGCAUAGUAUUUCCAUUUAUUCAUAAGCAAUAUGUCAUAAAGGUGCAUAUACUUCUGACGAUAUAAUUUGUAGUGAAAACGCAUAAUCAUUUGGGAGCUUUUAGUUAUAAAUGUCAGCAUUCUAUAUCUAUCUAUAUCCCCUUUUGGCUUUUAAUCACCAUACAGACGAGAAUAUCUAUAUAAAAGAAGAGGCUUUUUAAAAUAAAAAUGAAUCAUUACCGGUAUGUUAAAAAAAUUCAUGUGCAUACAUCUGUGCCAUCUCUUGUCUAUAUGAAUAACUAUAGCUUUUUAGUUUAUACUAAUUUAUUUUUAAGCUCAAUUGUGAUGAAAGCUAGAAGCUUAUCUGAACCACAGUCGAAGCCUUUUCCUGGAAAAUCGAGUACUGGUGUCAUUUGAGAAGGCUUGGUUAUGAUCCAAGUCGGUAUCAAACUCUGGGUUGAGCGGCCGACACCUUAAACUCUAGACAACCGCUUCCCUUACCUAUAGUUUCUUGACGAGUGACUUAUCCCAACAAAAAUGUUGUAGUACCAGAAGGCUCUGGCAUGAUAUGUGACCGGGAUAAACAUGAAAAGUGUCACACCAGAAGACUUCGGUUUGAUAAUUUGAACAGGAAAAAUGUCCUGUGUGGUCAAAGCUUUCAGCUGCAAGUAAUGUUAAAUUUGUUUGAGGUAACUAUUUGUUCAUGCAAAAAACGAAGUAAGGGUGCAUAUAAAUCAUGUAAACACCUCUAAAUGAUACAUUAUAACAAUAAACCAGUAAAUAAAGACAUAAUCAUCAAAUAAACGUGUUAACUUUCCAUUUCAAUAAAGCUUUUCAAGAUACAUGCAAAUAAAUAUGACCAUAUUGAUACUUAACUAUAUCAAAAUAAAACUAUUUGAAUAUAGAAAUUUUAUAUAAAUAUAUGUAAUAUGUAUUCUAUUAUGGAAAUUACACAGCUUAUCACAAAUCUUAUUUAGUCGCCGAAUGACCUAGAGUUGUGUUAAUGCGAUGCUAAAACUACCAAAAACAAAAGAACAAAGCUUAUUAUUUGAUACAUGUAUAUCAUGCAAAAGAACCAUAAAUGAACACGAACCAUGUCUCUCAAUAUAGCUUUAUUUCAAUAGAAGGAUGUCAUCUGAGGCCCUAGCGGGCUGCCUUUAUAUCGUUUGAUCUACAAUGUACAACAGUUAUAUAAAACUGAUGUUGCGUUCCACAUGUGGUCUCAUUAUGAUUACAAAUACAGAGCAGGCACGAUUUUGCGAUAGACAGACAGACAGACGAACGAAACAAAAUGGAAACAUAUCUUCUACAAAAAUUUAGUCGUUACACAUAUUUAUCACCUCUAGAUCAAUCGAGAUCAAGCAGCGCAUCACAGGGCUUAUGGUGCAUGCACGUAAAAGCGUAUGGUUUUAA
Mercenaria mercenaria is the source of this 4267-nucleotide long non-coding RNA. RefSeq lists it as uncharacterized. NCBI's taxonomy places the organism in Eukaryota, Metazoa, Mollusca, Bivalvia, Venerida, Veneridae. The transcript is spliced from 3 exons. The record is from RefSeq and is a predicted model, not a curated record.